Molecule: long non-coding RNA, 385 nt
Filed under: Mytilus galloprovincialis (Mediterranean mussel)
Lineage: Eukaryota; Metazoa; Mollusca; Bivalvia; Mytilida; Mytilidae
Source: RNAcentral
UGUUAAAGCCCCAGUCCCACUAGACCACGAUCGCACCACGCUAACCGCGAUCUAAAAUAAAUUUUGAUCGUGGUGAGGUCGCAGUAUGAGCGGCAUGAAAAUGUAAAUUUUCGUUGCUUUCACGAUGCUACUACGUCCUCUCUACGCUUCUACAAAGAUCCCGCUACGAUUAUACCACGUUCUCCCCGCGCUUAUUCUGCGACCUCACUACGCUUAUCAAGAUCUUUCUACGCUCUUCACGUUCUCACUACGACCAUACCACGAGUUUUCCGAUUGCAACACGAUCUUACUGCGAUUAUAACAAGUUCUUACCACGAUUAUACUAUGUUCAUAGCGCGAUCUUACUACGUUCUCAGCAAUAACGUCAACAUCGUGUUCCAUAUCA